Molecule: long non-coding RNA, 1890 nt
Filed under: Mus musculus (house mouse)
Lineage: Eukaryota; Metazoa; Chordata; Mammalia; Rodentia; Muridae
Description: predicted gene 10505 (Gm10505)
Source: RNAcentral
ACACUCAUUCAGCAACAGCAGCACCACCACCACCACCAGCAGCAGCGGACAGCCCUGAGGAGGUAUUAGACCCUCCAUGCUGUCUUAAACCUUGCAUGCUUUUUGUCUGUUUUCCUGCCACUUCUAAGCCUGACUGUUGUCAGGGUCGGUGGCUUACAUCCAUUGUUAGCCCAGGGUCCCUCCUCUUAACUGACUGCUGGCUGGCCCUAGUCAGACCUACAGUUUGAUGCUGAGUGGCCUCUCUUCCGGUAUUAGUGGGGAGAAUAUCCUGCCUCACUGGAGUCCCCCACCCCCAGCGACUGAGAAUUCAUGCAGCUUGCCCAGUGGCUCCAGAGGCCAAGUCUCUCUCAUGUCUUUGCAUGGGGCCUGCUGGGACUCGUCUCCUGCUAUGCUUCAGCUCCUGCCCAAUCACUUACCUGUGCCAGGAGAAGCCUCUGGACAUGCCUGGGCAGCCUCUGGACAUGCACUGCUCCCAUUCCUCGCUGAGAGGGCAUCUCCCCGAGUGCCUCUCCAUCCCAGUAGACUCUCCAGAUGUGCCCAGUCCUCAACUGGUGUGGCCUCACCAGAGAGACUCAGACCAAACAGGCCUCCACAGCCUCUCUCUAGACACUUUCUGGGAAACCACAGUGGAAUACAAAAGGUCCUCAUUUGCCCUGAACCCUGGGAAGCCCUGUGGCAUUGGUUCAUGAGUGCUGUGGUUGGUUAUUUGGAACUUAAUUCUCUUGGUAUUUGCCACUUCCCAGUUGUCCCCUUUACUGUUCACAGUCCCCACCUAUAAUCCUCGGCUUCCUGGCACUUCCGGAGCCCAUAUUAACGUACCAAUUUUUUGUACCCCAUUUAGGGCACCAACUGUUCUGAUCUCUUGAAGAGCUCCUCAGGCAACCUUCUGUUUCUAGCAAGAUGAUACACCCAAGCCUUGAUGACAAGGCUUGGCUCUCAACCUCCUUGCUCCCCACCUCCUGUGAAAUACACAAAGAAAUUCAGUGAUCAUCGGGGAUGCUCUGGUCCAAACACUACCUGCCAGCCAGACGCAGGAGAUGGAUGGCUCAGCAGUAAUCGUGCUGCUUGAGCUUGGUGUCUAAUGGGGACAGUAGUGACAGGAAGUUCACAGGGACUGGAAGACAUGAGUUCUCUGAGGGAAAGGAAGGUGAAGCCUGGUGCUUAGGACCCUCAGGAGACCAUAGGAUGUGAGAAGGCUCAAGACACCCAGAGGUGGGGUCAGAAACAGGGCAAAGGAGACCAAGCAUGGGAGAGCUGCAGUGGACGUGUACAGACAGGAGAAGCAGGCCCUAAAGAAUCCCUGAGGCGGCAGAGAGGCUGGGCUGUGGAACUUUUUAAUUACUUUGCAUUAGGGGACUGUAGAGACCCAGAAGCCCACCCUUCCCCUCCCCUCAUCAGCUUAGCCCCAACAUAUGGUGGCUACCAAAGUAGUUAAAUCGGCUCUUGGUAGAAAAGGAAAGAGAUUCCUCCCAGGCUCUUCCCAGGGUCCACGGCCACACUCCAGGAGGGCUCAACUCCAGGGCAAGGCAGCUGGGACAGCAGGCAGCUGAAGGAGGACUAUUACUGCACCUUAGGGAAGAGUGCAGUGGCGAGUGGGGAGGACUCUGCUGGGACCCGGGGGUCAUGUGCAUUCCCAUUUAGUUGAGCUCUGCUUAAUCCGGGCCUAGGCUCACAGUAAUGGGGAACGAGGAGAGGCUCCCAUCAGAGACCAAGAAGAUGACAGACUCUCUGUAAAGGCUGUCAGAGGGGUCUGCAUGACCAACCACACCUGCUCCUGUUCCUUUGGGGCUCUUGUGACCUCCCUGUCUUCUUGUGAGAUCUUAUGUUCCUCCAACCCUGAGAGCUACAAACCAAUCUCCGGAAUAAAAAAAUCUGUCCCUCGUGCUGUCA